Molecule: long non-coding RNA, 1320 nt
Filed under: Daucus carota (carrot)
Lineage: Eukaryota; Viridiplantae; Streptophyta; Magnoliopsida; Apiales; Apiaceae
Description: long non-coding RNA (DCAR_LNC002322)
Source: RNAcentral
UAGUUAGAAAAUUAGCACUAUAUUGCAACAAAAUACCUACAAAAUUCCGUCAAUAAUUACCAACACAAUAGAAACUACAUCUUUGUAGUUAAAUAACAAAUAAAUACAUGUUUUACUCUAAUUACUGGAAAUAAAUUAAUCAAUCAUAUUACUGUUAGUAAAUCCUUCAAAGUUACAAGUUAUCUGGUUAGGAUGACAAAUUAAAAAGUUAAUAAGUUAAUAUUACAUAAGUAGAUAGUCGCAUUGAGCUCCAUGUCAAACUACUGUACAAAACAAAUGUUAAAGACAUUCCAAAAGUUGCUGUCAUCCUUUCAUGUCAUCCGGUCAUCCAGUCAUACGCCAAAAUAUUAACCUAACAAAAUUUAGACAAUCAACAAAUUAGUAAAUGCCCCAACAUGCACUGAGUUUUUGUUUUAGCAUUAAAACAUGUAAUGGCCCUGAUUUUGUUUUCCUAAAGUUAGCCAAGAACUAAUUUACCUUAAAGCAAGCUACUGAUUGUGACACUCCAACAUCUUCGCUAGUUGGUUCUCCAUCUCCCUCAUCCGCUGCUUCACUUCAUCCAUCUCUUUAAGUUGUUCCUUCAUUUGGCUCAUAAAAGAUAUUCUGGGAAGAACCUAAGCCAUAUAUCCUAUUACGCUUGUCAAGUCCACCAACUGCUUCAUAAUAUGCCUUAUUUUGAACAAAAAUAUCGAGUUGAGCAGAGACAUUCAAGUUAUAAAAUGUUCUACCAUUUAAGUCUUAAAAAUUCCAAGUAUUCCACUGGUUACAAAGUACUCCACUGGUUACAAAUUACUGCUUUGUAAUUAACUCCUAAACUAACAUUUAGCUUCCGAGUAGUCAAAGAUGAAAUUAGAUACAAAAUGAAAUUGUUUGUCACUGACAAUGUUUUAACAAAAACACUUAAACUUUAAAUUCUACUAGUUGCACAGUCUUAUAUAUAGCAAAAAUUGGUAUUCAAAUUAUACAGGCACAAACAUAUAGUAAAUACAAUGUGAACAUUAAAUAAUCAUACUUCUGACUUGCCACUUGCCACCAUAUAAUUUACACAGAAAAUAAAAAAAACACCUAAAUGAAUACACAGAAGAUAUAUUUCACCUAAAAAGAAUAGAGAUGUAAAAAUAUGAAAAAAGAACAAAUCAUAGUUCAUACACUUAAAUGAUUAAUUUAAGUAAAAUGUGUGUGUUGAGCAGUUGUAGCAUUCUAAGUUUUAAAAAUUCCAAGUAAUCAACAAAAAUUCUGCUAUUAAUUCUCAGAAACUCAGUACACUAUUUAGCAAAAAAAAAAACUCAAUACACUUACAGCAAAAGCUGCACUUUUCUU